This 354-nucleotide transfer-messenger RNA is filed under the name Desulfobacteraceae bacterium. It matches the Rfam family "transfer-messenger RNA". Rfam says of the family: Bacterial tmRNA, also known as 10Sa RNA or SsrA, is named for its dual tRNA and mRNA-like properties. Its role is to liberate the mRNA from a stalled ribosome. To accomplish this part of the tmRNA is used as a reading frame that ends in a translation stop signal. The record is from RNAcentral. RNAcentral also lists the same sequence under 1 other name. Lineage: Bacteria; Pseudomonadati; Thermodesulfobacteriota; Desulfobacteria; Desulfobacterales; Desulfobacteraceae.
GGGGGCGAAAUGGUUUCGACGGGGACAAAGAAGCUUUGGUUGCAUACCGAGUCCCGCUGACUCGUAAAACAGGCGGAACAUAAACAUAAUCGCAGACGAUUAUAACUACGCCUUGGCCGCUUAGUCGGCCAACGUCCUUCCGGGUUUCCUCCUGCGGAUCCGGUAUGGGCGUCGACUUGCAGGAUAGCCGUUUCUGAUUGUUUGUUGCAGCAACGGUGAAACUCUAACAAAAUAGCAAUUCAAGUAUCCCGCCUGAAGGAGACUUGAAGCGCGAAAUUCAGAUUUCAGGCUAUGUAUGUAGAAGCCAUUGUGGAAUGUUUUCGGACGCGGGUUCGACUCCCGCCGCCUCCACCA